AUGAAGAAGCUUCAACUCUACCACACUGUCCUAAAGGAUGCUGUUCCACGUCGAGAAACGUACAGCAAACUCAAACAGAAUGAGAGAUUCCCUCUGCUCGGCAAACAGUUUAUGGUCAUGUAUGAUGUUAGAGACGAUUACCACACCAGAAAAGAUGUUCUGUGUUUGCUCUGUGGAAGGACAUUGUCAGAAAAUGAGUUUUGUACUCAUGUGUUCAGUCGGGAACAUGUUACAGAAUUUCUGGACCGUUUUCAUCCAGGCUCACUGACGCCAGACACCGAUGCAGAGACCUUACUGGAUUUGGCAAAACAGGCAGCACAUUUUCAUUCCAUAUCAAAUGUGCAGGUAAUAAGAGCCAAAAUGUUUCUAUCUGGAUGUAAAAUUUCCUCUUGUGAUGUAUUUAUCCUGCACUUAAAAUGUCUUCCAUCAAAGGUAAUAAAGCUGGACAGGCCAAUCUGGGAGCCAUAUACCUACCACCAAGCAAUAAUUAUUUUAGAAUCUGCAAAACAAAGAUAUAAGAAAGGAGUGCUUGAACCCUUCUUAAAACCCAAAAUGAAACUAGUUCCUAGGGAGACUGUGAAAGAAAUGACCAAGGACCAUGGGAAAGGCAGCAGUCAGAAAAACUGCGAUGAUCAGCCAGCAACCAUCUCCAUCACCCUCAUGAAGGACUCUGAGAAUAUGACCAGUCAAAAACCUCUUUUAGCAUCAUCUGACACAGACCAUCAGGAAGCUGUUCAAUUAUAUGCGUACAUCAAGAAGAAGAACAGAGAGCCUGUGAUUGGCUUAAGUAGCCUUUAUGAAUUCCUCUGUGAUCAACAUGACCCUGUCUACUUCUGCCAAUGCUGCUCUCUGCUGGUCCUAGAGAAGAAUAUUAUAAACCAUGUUACUGGGUUUGAUCACUGGAAGAUCUACCUGACGGGCGCCCAGUCGCUGGCACCUCAACCACAGAUGAAAUCAGAAGAAAUCAGAUAUUUGGCUGAGAAUUUUGAAUCCCUUAAUGGAUAUGGAGAAGCUCAGACUGUUACACUAAAUGAAGACAUUUACAAUGAAAUCCUCAAGCAAGACUCUGAAUCAGCCCUACAGACAGUCAAGUCUUUACUGACUCAGAAUGAAAGUAGUCAUGUUGAUGUUAAAACUUCGGACACAUCCGUGUUCCUUCAGAAACAGGAAAAGGAACAGGACAUGACUGAAAACACACAGGUGGUGGAAAAGAAAUUUGAUGUUGAUUUAGAAGACAAAUUCUCUAACACUGGGACAAAUCCAACUAAUAUGCUUCCUGAUUCCACAAAAGAAAGCGCAAAAGAUUGCAUCCCUUCAAGCACAAAUGAGGAGCCACUGAAAAUAUCAAUAACAUCUCAGUCUUCACCUGCCUCCAGUAGCACUGGAGGCACCACCAAACUGACUGCAGCGAAACACAAAUCUAGCAUGAGCCCCACUUCUACAGUUCCGACCGGCAGCACUACUAAAAGCUCCAGAAGUACAGUGUCAUCAACGACUGCGACAAUAGCUGCUCCUAAGGUAACAAUAAAGUGUGAACCCCAUCGGACUUCAGCCAUGUCUGAUGGGUGUGAACACAAGACUUCACACACAGAACCACAUUCCUCUAUGACUAAGAUGAAACCAAAUGAAAACCCUCCUAAAGUUGGCUUAAACCAUCUUAUCAUGGUGUGGUGUAAAAGAAAAAAGCAAAUCUACUGCGAGUUGUGUUCGGUCAGGUUAAAAAAUUCCAAACACCCAUACAGUGAUACCCACAGAUUAAACUACGUGAAAAUGAAGUUCCCUGAGUUUAGGGCAGAGCCGUUGGAGUUGCAGAGCAAACUGGACAAUAUAGUGGCCCACUUGGCUGAGGUGGAGAAAAAUGUACAAAGGAGGAACAAGAACAUACAGGUGAACCAUGAUGUAUACAAGGAGCUGGGUGCUCUUUCAGAGGAAAAAGCUUUCGAAAAAAUAAAGACUAUGCUGAAAAAAGGGGCCUAUUGGGAGACGUCCUCCCCCACAACUGAUGCAGAGGCAUUGACACAGGGUUGUUCUGUGUCUUCCUCCAGUCCAUUUGAAAUGUCAAGCCCAGAUGAUGGACACCUGAGGUUUGGCCUGGCCUGUGCUGACUCAAGACUAUCCCAGAGCAGCCAGUUUACAACAAUUACUCUCUGCACUUCAAAGGAGCCAGAGAUAGACCUGCCACAGAAUGAAGUAUCAGGGUUUUCUUCUGACCACCAGCAAAAGCAUGAGACACACAGAGCAGGGACAUGCAUCAUUGGCGCCAGUAAUCUUUCCACAUAUUUGGCUGUGAAACAACUGGAAACCAAACCUAUCCUAGGUAUGGGCUCAGUGUGGGAGUGUCGAGGGUUUUCUCGAGAUACAUUCUAUUUGUGCCAGAACUGCAGGAUGACUCUCUCCGUCAGUGACAUCUGUGGGCAUAUGGUCAGCUCUGAUCACCAAAUCAAUUGCAUGAAGGUAGAUUAUCCUCGGUUUUUGUAUUUCAUGGACUUGGACAAUGUGCCUGAAAACGAAAAACGCAACAUUUUAGAAGUCAUUGGAACAAUGUUCUCAGCACAGGAGCGUUCCAAGAAAAUUGACGCGCAGGUUGUGAUGCUCACACCUGAAGGGUAUGAAAGUGUUCAGGCAGCUCCAUUCAGUGAAGCUUUAGAAAUGCUGCAAAACAUGAAAGGACAGAAACCAAGGGUCUUGGGUCAUUCUGUCAGUACUUCACAGCAAAAGGAACCUGAGAACCAGCAGAGUGCAGAAGAAUGUCAUCAAAAAGAGACAAAUGCAGCACUGAAACACACAGACUACCAGCACGACAAUGAAGCAAGAACCCAACCACAGAAGUGUUAUUUGGACAAGACUGUGGUAGUUGGAGGUACAGAUGAGAUGAGCAGUGUCCUCUCAAAUGAUGUUUCAACUGAGACUUUCAGGAAUCUUUCUGUACAACCAGAACUCUCACUAUCAGCCCCUCAGCACCAAAUACCUGUCCCUAAGUUGCAAGAGCAUGAAGCAGAAGUUCACUCUGAGUCUCCAUCCUUCUCUGAUAGUCAGCACCAAACAUCACAAACCCAAACAGUGUCUCCUAGUGACACGUGUUGUCAAGGCAAGAAACGUCCAGCUCCUCCAUCUGUUGAAACACAUUACACCACUAACCCACACCUCAAAGAUCCUCGACAAGCCAAACAUGCACGUAGUUCACUGGAACACAUCAGUCAGUGCAUUCCUGAAUCAGCCGUGGAAUCAGCUUCCUUUAAUGUUGCUUCAACGUCUACACUGUUGUCUCCUGAAGACAAAGGCACAGAACAUGACAUGACUGAAUACUAUAAACUAUGGGAACUUGUUAAUCAGGCAAAGCAAAAUAAGGUUAUUGCUCCCUCUUCUAACAGUUCAUCUGAAAUGAAUGUGGUACAGAGGUUGGAUUCAAAGUGUGCUGAUACUGAUUAUAGGGUAAAAACAAAUUUACCUGCUUCUAAAACAUUGGAAAGCACAUUCCCUGUACCAUCUGUGUAUGAUUCCACCCCUGAUCCACACGCCAGCAACUCGUCUCUUGAGACCACGACGACAAUCAACCCUUCUGCCAGCUCUGCAGACCCCUCUGACCUACAACACCAGAGCAGCACGUCUAAUGAAUGUGAGAAAGUGAGCCACCUCCAGCCUGGUUCAAUCCAGUCCACAGCCACCAUCCCCAACACAUGGCAGGCUUUACAGUUGCAGUGCAACCCAGAAAGUACAAACACUGGGUUUUGUCAGAUGCCUAUUAACCCAAUCAUAACUGCCAGGCCACAGCCCAUCAGGAAGAUGCAAUUACUUACUAUAACAAAUUCCUUUGGCACUGUGGCAGCUUUAGAGGCGUACAGUCAAUACAGUCAAAGUGCAUAUGCAGAACAUGGUCUUUCAUCUUAUCCUCUUCCACAGGCUGGUGCAGGUUACAUCACACCACACAAUCCUUUUGUUUAUGCAGGCCCUUUAUACCACAGUCAGUAUUACCCGGUAGAGGUGCCCCAUAUGGGCGAGCUUAGCAGCUACCAUGGCCAGGAAAUGGGUGAGUCUCAAAAUGCACCGGCAGCCGCUUCUGGUGAUGCAGCAGCAGUACUCCCCUUCAGCCAACAUAACCCGUCCUGCUGGAGAUAAAAAGGUGACAGCACACCAAGGUUUUGAAAACAUUGUUUCAGUCGACCUGUGUUUUUUCAUUAUCUUCGUACAACAGGCACAUCAUGUUCCAGUGUGCUGCUGUAUGAAUAUUUUUCAUUUACAAUAGGACCUGGAAACGGCACAGUAUAAAGGUUUAGAAAUGGAAAUCAACGCUGUAUAUGUAGAGGUUUUGUUGCCACAAGCUAAUGGUUUUUAAUGUUUUCAGCUAUUUUUUGGCACUUUAAUAUAACACUUUGUUUAUUCUUAAGUGUUUUGUAAAAUUGAAACAUUGGUUUUAUUGUUUGCACUAUGAGUUGCAUUUUUGUGAAGUUGUGAAAAUGACCAUCUGAUUGUUGGAAAUAUUAAUAUAUAUGAUUUCAGUUGUUCCACUUUGAUGCAUUGACUCUUCAGUCUAAGUGAAAAGAAAUAAACAAAAUGCAUGAAAUCA
Molecule: long non-coding RNA, 4564 nt
Organism: Betta splendens (Siamese fighting fish)
Lineage: Eukaryota; Metazoa; Chordata; Actinopteri; Anabantiformes; Osphronemidae
Source: Ensembl